Molecule: ribosomal RNA, 780 nt
Filed under: Bdellovibrio sp. YJAL
Lineage: Bacteria; Pseudomonadati; Bdellovibrionota; Bdellovibrionia; Bdellovibrionales; Pseudobdellovibrionaceae
Also listed under: 6 other names
Description: bacterial SSU rRNA
Rfam family: Bacterial small subunit ribosomal RNA
Source: RNAcentral
CAGGCCUAACACAUGCAAGUCGAACGGGGUAGCAAUACCUAGUGGCGCACGGGUGAGUAACGCGUGGAUAAUCUGCCUUGGAGUGGGGGAUAACUAGUCGAAAGAUUAGCUAAUACCGCAUAAGACCACAGGAGCUGCGGCUCUAGGGGUCAAAGGUUUUUCGUUCCAAGAUGAGUCCGCGUAAGAUUAGCUAGUUGGUGAGGUAAUGGCUCACCAAGGCGACGAUCUUUAACUGGUCUGAGAGGAUGAUCAGUCACACUGGAACUGAGACACGGUCCAGACUCCUACGGGAGGCAGCAGUAGGGAAUAUUGCACAAUGGAGGAAACUCUGAUGCAGCGACGCCGCGUGAGUGAUGAAGGCCUUCGGGUCGUAAAGCUCUGUCGCAGGGGAAUAACACAAUGAAUGUACCCUGUAAGAAAGGAUCGGCUAACUUCGUGCCAGCAGCCGCGGUAAGACGAGGGAUCCUAGCGUUGUUCGGAAUUAUUGGGCGUAAAGCGGAUGUAGGUGGCUUUGUAAGUCAGAUGUGAAAGCCCAGGGCUCAACCCUGGAAGUGCAUUUGAUACUGCGAAGCUUGAGUGUCGGAGAGGUUACUAGAAUUGUUGGUGUAGUGGUGAAAUACGUAGAUAUCAACAGGAAUACCGGAGGCGAAGGCGGGUAACUGGCCGAACACUGACACUGAGAUCCGAAAGCGUGGGGAUCAAACAGGAUUAGAUACCCUGGUAGUCCACGCCGUAAACGAUGGAUACUUGUUGUUGGAGGUAUUGACCCCUUCAGUGACG